This 687-nucleotide ribosomal RNA is filed under the name Alexandrium tamarense. RNAcentral's name for it is "LSU rRNA". It matches the Rfam family "Eukaryotic large subunit ribosomal RNA", at positions 34 to 659 of the family's 3401-position model. Lineage: Eukaryota; Dinophyceae; Gonyaulacales; Pyrocystaceae. The record is from RNAcentral.
UUAAGCAUAUAAGUAAGUGGUGGAAAUUAAACCAACUGGGAUCUCUUCAGUAAUUGCGCAUGAACCAGGAUAUGCUUAGCUUGACAAAUGGAGCUGCUGGCUCUGAAUUGUAUUGUGGGAAUGUAUUACCAACAGAGGUGCAGGUGUCAGCCAUUUGAAAGAAAGCAUCAAUGAGGGUGAGAGUCCUGUUUGUCAUGUGCAGCCUUCUGUGCACGGUGUAUAUUUGCUGAGUCACACUCCUUGGCAUUGGAAUGCAAAGUGGGUGGUAAGUUUCAUGCAAAGGUAAAUAUGCAAUUGAGACUGAUAGCGCACAAGUACCAUGAGGGACAUAUGAAAAGGACUUUGAACAGAGAAUUAAAUGAGUUUGUAUUUGCUAAACACAAAGUAAACAGACUUGAUUUCCUCAGUGAGAUUGUAGUGCUUGCUUGACAAUGGGUUUUGGCUGCAAGUGCAAUAAUUCUUGCUUUGUGUGCCAGUUUUUAUGUGGACAUUUGAUUACCUUUGCACAUGAAUGGUAAUUUUCCUGCGGGGUGUGGAUUGCAUAUGCAUGUAAUGAUUUGCAUGUUUGUUAAAUGUGUCUGGUGUAUUUGUUUGUGUCCUUGUCCUUGAGGUUGCUUUCUCCCUUGGGCUUACAUGCCCUGGCACACACAUUCUGGCAAAAUGCUUCUGCUUGACCCGUUCUUGAAA